AUUGAACGCUGGCGGCAUGCUUUACACAUGCAAGUCGAACGGCAGCACGGGCUUCGGCCUGGUGGCGAGUGGCGAACGGGUGAGUAAUAUAUCGGAACGUACCCAGAAGUGGGGGAUAACGUAGCGAAAGUUACGCUAAUACCGCAUACGGUCUAUGGAUGAAAGCAGGGGACCGCAAGGCCUUGUGCUCCUGGAGCGGCCGAUAUCUGAUUAGCUAGUUGGUGAGGUAAAGGCUCACCAAGGCGACGAUCAGUAGCUGGUCUGAGAGGACGACCAGCCACACUGGAACUGAGACACGGUCCAGACUCCUACGGGAGGCAGCAGUGGGGAAUUUUGGACAAUGGGCGCAAGCCUGAUCCAGCAAUGCCGCGUGAGUGAAGAAGGCCUUCGGGUUGUAAAGCUCUUUUGUCAGGGAAGAAACGGUAGAGGCUAAUAUCCUUUGCUAAUGACGGUACCUGAAGAAUAAGCACCGGCUAACUACGUG
This 484-nucleotide ribosomal RNA is filed under the name uncultured bacterium. RNAcentral's name for it is "partial 16S ribosomal RNA". It matches the Rfam family "Bacterial small subunit ribosomal RNA", at positions 30 to 507 of the family's 1533-position model. The record is from RNAcentral.